This 460-nucleotide ribosomal RNA is filed under the name uncultured bacterium. Its description in RNAcentral is "partial 16S ribosomal RNA". It matches the Rfam family "Bacterial small subunit ribosomal RNA", at positions 338 to 795 of the family's 1533-position model. The record is from RNAcentral.
CCUACGGGCGGCUGCAGUGAGGAAUAUUGGUCAAUGGACGAAAGUCUGAACCAGCCAAGUAGCGUGAAGGAUGACUGCCCUAUGGGUUGUAAACUUCUUUUAUAUGGGAAUAAAACAGGGUAUGCAUACCCUCUUGUAUGUACCAUAUGAAUAAGGAUCGGCUAACUCCGUGCCAGCAGCCGCGGUAAUACGGAGGAUCCGAGCGUUAUCCGGAUUUAUUGGGGUUAAAGGGCGCGUAGGUGGAUUGUUAAGUCAGUUGUGAAAGUUUGCGGCUUAACCGUAAAAUUGCAUUUGAAACUGGUAGUCUUGAGUACAGUAGAGGUGGGCGGAAUUCGUGGUGUAGCGGUGAAAUGCUUAGAUAUCACGAAGAACUCCGAUUGCUAAGGCAGCUUACUGGACUGCAACUGACACUGAUGCUCGAAAGCGUGGGUAUCAAACAGGAUUAGAUACCCGGGUAGUC